Molecule: transfer RNA, 74 nt
Filed under: Armatimonadota bacterium
Lineage: Bacteria; Bacillati; Armatimonadota
Also listed under: 1 other name
Description: Armatimonadetes bacterium tRNA-Cys
Rfam family: tRNA
About the family: Transfer RNA (tRNA) molecules are approximately 80 nucleotides in length. Their secondary structure includes four short double-helical elements and three loops (D, anti-codon, and T loops).
Source: RNAcentral
GGCGACGUGGCCGAGUGGCUAGGCAAGGGUCUGCAAAACCCUGUACGCGGGUUCGAAUCCCGCCGUCGCCUCCA